RNAcentral lists this long non-coding RNA (267 nucleotides) under Ananas comosus (pineapple). RNAcentral describes it as "long non-coding RNA (ACOM_LNC044261)". The record is from RNAcentral. Lineage: Eukaryota; Viridiplantae; Streptophyta; Magnoliopsida; Poales; Bromeliaceae.
CUUUCUUUUUUUUUUAGUAUCUUUUCUUUCCUUCCUUUUUUUGAAGUGGGAUAUUUUUUCAAAUUUUACAUUUUUCCCUCUUUUUUUUCUCUUUCUUUUUUUUUAAUUUAUUUUUUUUAUUUCAUUUUUUUUUUACUCAAACAUUUAAAUGACAGGGGAGAAAAGUGAAGAAGCGGGUAUUAAUAUAAAAGUUUUAUGUAAUUUAGCUUUUAAUUUUUGUUUCUUUAUGUGAGACAUGUUGGGUCCUAAAAAUAUAUCCAUAUCGUC